UACGUAGGGUGCGAGCGUUAAGCGGAAUUACUGGGCGUAAAGCGUGCGCAGGCGGCUUUACAAGACAGAUGUGAAAUCCCCGGGCUCAACCUGGGAACUGCAUUUGUGACUGCAAGGCUAGAGUACGGCAGAGGGGGAUGGAAUUCCGCGUGUAGCAGUGAAAUGCGUAGAUAUGCGGAGGAACAUCAAUGGCGAAGGCA
RNAcentral lists this ribosomal RNA (200 nucleotides) under uncultured bacterium. Its description in RNAcentral is "partial 16S ribosomal RNA". It matches the Rfam family "Bacterial small subunit ribosomal RNA", at positions 524 to 723 of the family's 1533-position model. The record is from RNAcentral.